GAUGAAGAACGCAGUGAAAUGCGAUACGUAAUGUGAAUUGCAGAAUUCAGUGAAUCAUCGAAUCUUUGAACGCACAUUGCACUCUCUGGUAUUCCGGAGAGUAUGCUUGUUUGAGUAUCAGUAAACACCUCAAAUCUCUUGUUUCUUGUGAAUAAGAGAAUUGGACUUGAGCAAUCCCAACUCUUGCAAAAGAGGCGGGUUGCUUGAAAUGCAGGUGCAGCUGGACAUUCUUCUGAGCUAAAAGCAUAUUUAUUUAGUCCCGUAAAACGGAUUAUUACUUUUGCUGCAGCUAACAUAAAGGUUGAAUGGCCAAUAUGGCUGACUGAUGCAGGAUUAACAGAGAAUUUAUUCUUUGUAAACUCGAUCUCAAAUCAAGUAAGACUACCCGCUGAACUUAAGCAUAUCAAUAAGCGGAGGA
Molecule: unclassified non-coding RNA, 418 nt
Filed under: soil metagenome
Description: partial contains 5.8S ribosomal RNA, internal transcribed spacer 2, and large subunit ribosomal RNA
Rfam family: 5.8S ribosomal RNA (bases 1-120)
Source: RNAcentral